UGGGGAAUCUUCUGCAAUGAGCGCAAGCUUGACAGAGCGUCGUCACGUGAAGGAAGACAGCUUCUUAUAGUUGUAAACUUCUUUUGCUUAAAAGUGAAAAUUGACACUUAAGUAAACAAAGUAUCGGCAAACUCCGUGCCAGCAGCCGCGGUAAAACGGGGGAUACAAGCGUUAUCCGGAAUUACUGGGCGUAAAGCGUAUGUAGGUGGUUUUAAUAUAUUUUUAAAGAAAGGAAACUAUAUAUAUGUUUUUUUUAAAAAAAUUAUUAAACUAGAGUCUGUUAGGGGUAAAAGGAAUUUUUUGAGUAGUGGUGAAAUGCGAAGAUACAAAAAAGAAGACCAAAAGCGAAGGCAUUUUACUGGGGCAGUACUGACACUGAGAUACGAAAGUUAAGGUAGCGAAUGGG
This 406-nucleotide ribosomal RNA is filed under the name uncultured bacterium. RNAcentral describes it as "partial 16S ribosomal RNA". It matches the Rfam family "Bacterial small subunit ribosomal RNA", at positions 355 to 776 of the family's 1533-position model. The record is from RNAcentral.